CUAACAAGGAUUCCCCUAGUAACUGCGAGUGAAGCGGGAAAAGCUCAAAUUUAAAAUCUGGUAGCCUUUGGUUAUCCGAGUUGUAAUCUAGAGAAGUGUUACCCGCGUCGGACCGUGUAUAAGUCUCCUGGAAUGGAGCGUCAUAGAGGGUGAGAAUCCCGUCUUUGACACGGACUCCCGGGGCUUUGUGGUAUGCUCUCAAAGAGUCGAGUUGUUUGGGAAUGCAGCUCAAAAUGGGUGGUAAAUUCCAUCUAAAGCUAAAUAUUGGCGAGAGACCGAUAGCGAACAAGUACCGUGAGGGAAAGAUGAAAAGAACUUUGGAAAGAGAGUUAAACAGUACGUGAAAUUGCUGAAAGGGAAACGCUUGAAGUCAGUCGCGUUGGCCGGGAAUCAGCCUUGCUUUUGCUUGGUGUACUUUCUGGUUGACGGGCCAGCAUCAGUUUUGACCGGUGGAAAAAGUUCAGGGGAAUGUGGCAUCUUCGGGUGUGUUAUAGCCCUUGUUCGUAUACAUCGGUUGGGACUGAGGAACUCAGCACGCCGCAAGGCCGGGUCUUUGACCACGUUCGUGCUUAGGAUGCUGGCAUAAUGGCUUUAAUCGACCCGUCUUGAAACACGGACCAAGGAGUCUAACAUGCCUGCGAGUGUUUGGGUGGAAAACCCGAGCGCGUAAUGAAAGUGAAAGUUGAGAUCCCUGUCAUGGGGAGCAUCGACGCCCGGACCAGACGUUUUCUGACGGCCCUGCGGUAGAGCAUGUAUGUUGGGACCCGAAAGAUGGUGAACUAUGCCUGAAUAGGGUGAAGCCAGAGGAAACUCUGGUGGAGGCUCGUAGCGAUUCUGACGUGCAAAUCGAUCGUCAAAUUUGGGUAUAGGGGCGAAAGACUAAUCGAACCAUCUAGUAGCU
RNAcentral lists this ribosomal RNA (901 nucleotides) under Candolleomyces argillosporus. RNAcentral's name for it is "eukaryotic LSU rRNA". It matches the Rfam family "Eukaryotic large subunit ribosomal RNA", at positions 65 to 952 of the family's 3401-position model. Lineage: Eukaryota; Fungi; Basidiomycota; Agaricomycetes; Agaricales; Psathyrellaceae. The record is from RNAcentral.